Molecule: non-coding RNA, 164 nt
Organism: Opisthocomus hoazin
Lineage: Eukaryota; Metazoa; Chordata; Aves; Opisthocomiformes; Opisthocomidae
Source: Rfam
AUAUUUACCUGGCAGGGGAGACACCAUGAUCAGGCAGGUAGGUGGUUUUCCCAGGGCAAGGCUCAUCCCUUGCGCUCUGGGUGUGCUGACCCCUGCAAUUUCCCCAAAUGCGGGAAACUUCUUUACUUUUUCUUUUUCCCCGCCUGGACAAGGUCCUGUGCAGC